This 474-nucleotide ribosomal RNA is filed under the name uncultured bacterium. RNAcentral describes it as "bacterial SSU rRNA". It matches the Rfam family "Bacterial small subunit ribosomal RNA", at positions 32 to 514 of the family's 1533-position model. The record is from RNAcentral.
AGUCAACGCUGGCGGCGUGCCUCAGACAUGCAAGUCGAACGAUUAAGACUUCCUUCGGGAAGUGCAUAAAGUGGCGCACGGGUGAGUAACACGUAAGUAAUCUACCCUCGAGUGGGGAAUAACGUUCGGAAACGGACGCUAAUACCGCAUAACGCAGCGGCACCGCAAGGUGACAGUUGUUAAAGGAGUAAUUCGCUUGAGGAGGAGCUUGCGGCAGAUUAGCUUGUUGGAAGGUAACGGCUUACCAAGGCUACGAUCUGUAUCCGGUCUAAGAGGACGGUCGGACACACUGACACUGAAUAACGGGUCAGACUCCUACGGGAGGCAGCAGUCGGGAAUUUUGGGCAAUGGGCGAAAGCCUGACCCAGCAACGCCGCGUGAAGGAUGAAGUAUUUCGGUAUGUAAACUUCGAAAGAAUGGGAAGAAUAAAUGACGGUACCAUUUAAUAAGCUCCGGCUAACUACGUGCCAGCCG